CCAGGUGGUGUGAGAUGGAUCCGCGUCUGAUUAGCCAGUUGGCGGGGUAACGGCCCACCAAAGCGACGAUCAGUAGCCGACCUGAGAGGGUGACCGGCCACAUUGGGACUGAGACACGGCCCAAACUCCUACGGGAGGCAGCAGUGGGGAAUAUUGCACAAUGGGCGGAAGCCUGAUGCAGCGACGCCGCGUGAGUGAAGAAGUAUCUCGGUAUGUAAAGCUCUAUCAGCAGGGAAGAAAAUGACGGUACCUGACUAAGAAGCCCCGGCUAACUACGUGCCAGCAGCCGCGGUAAUACGUAGGGGGCAAGCGUUAUCCGGAUUUACUGGGUGUAAAGGGAGCGUAGACGGCGACGCAAGUCUGGAGUGAAAGCCCGGGGCCCAACCCCGGGACUGCUUUGGAAACUGUGUUGCUGGAGUGCAGGAGAGGUAAGUGGAAUUCCUAGUGUAGCGGUGAAAUGCGUAGAUAUUAGGAGGAACACCAGUGGCGAAGGCGGCUUACUGGACUGUAACUGACGUUGAGGCUCGAAAGCGUGGGGAGCAAACAGGAUUAGAUACCCUGGUAAUCCACGCCGUA
This 576-nucleotide ribosomal RNA is filed under the name uncultured bacterium. Its description in RNAcentral is "bacterial SSU rRNA". It matches the Rfam family "Bacterial small subunit ribosomal RNA", at positions 211 to 804 of the family's 1533-position model. The record is from RNAcentral.